RNAcentral lists this ribosomal RNA (446 nucleotides) under uncultured bacterium. RNAcentral's name for it is "partial 16S ribosomal RNA". It matches the Rfam family "Bacterial small subunit ribosomal RNA", at positions 338 to 795 of the family's 1533-position model. The record is from RNAcentral.
CCUACGGGUGGCAGCAGUCGAGAAUCAUUCACAAUGGGGGAAACCCUGAUGGUGCGACGCCGCGUGGGGGAAUGAAGCUCUUCGGAUUGUAAACUCCUGUCAUGUGGGAGUAAAUUAAAAAGCUAGAACCCCAAGAGGAAUAGACGGCUAACUCUGUGCCAGCAGCCGCGGUAAUACAGAGGGCUCAAGCGUUGUUCGGUAUCACUGGGCGUAAAGCGUGCGUAGGCUGUUUCGUAAGUCGUCUGUGAAAGGCGCGGGCUCAACCCGCGAACGGCACAUGAUACUGGGAGACUAGAGUAAUGGAAGGGGAACCGGAAUUCUCGGUGUAGCAGUGAAAUGCGUAGAUAUCGAGAGGAACACUGGUGGCGAAGGCGGGUGCCUGGACAUUAACUGACGCUGAGGCACGAAGGCCAGGGGAGCGAAAGGGAUUAGAUACCCUGGUAGUC